CGGAAGGGGCUAGCGUUGUUCGGAAUUACUGGGCGUAAAGGGCGCGUAGGCGGCUGCCCAAGUCAGAUGUGAAAGCCCCGGGCUUAACCUGGGAAUUGCAUUUGAGACUGGGCGGCUUGAGUUUCGGAGAGGUGGGUGGAAUUCCCAGUGUAGAGGUGAAAUUCGUAGAUAUUGGGAAGAACACCGGUGGCGAAGGCGGCCCACUGGACGAACACUGACGCUGAGGCGCGAAAGCGUGGGGAGCAAACAGGAUUAGAUACCCUGGUAGUCCACGCUGUAAACGAUGAGUGCUAGACGUUGGGGCCCUUAGGGCUUCGGUGUCGCAGCUAACGCAUUAAGCACUCCGCCUGGGGAGUACGGCCGCAAGGUUA
RNAcentral lists this ribosomal RNA (371 nucleotides) under uncultured organism. RNAcentral's name for it is "bacterial SSU rRNA". It matches the Rfam family "Bacterial small subunit ribosomal RNA", at positions 526 to 896 of the family's 1533-position model. The record is from RNAcentral.